GGAGGGGGCAAGCGUUAUUCGGAAUCAUUGGGCGUAAAGGGCGCGUAGGCGGCUUGGCAAGUCAAAGGUGGAAUCCCUCGGCCCAACCGAGGAACUGCCUUUGAUACUGCUUGGCUCGAGGCCGGGAGAGGGUAGCGGAAUUCCCAGUGUAGCGGUGAAAUGCGUAGAUAUUGGGAGGAACACCAGUGGCGAAGGCGGCUACCUGGACCGGUUCUGACGCUGAUGCGCGAAAGCGUGGGGAGCAAACAGGAUUAGAUACCCUGGUAGUCCACGCCGUAAACGAUGGGUACUCGGUGUCGCGGGUAUCGACCCCUGCGGUGCCUUAGCUAACGCGUUAAGUACCCCGCCUGGGGAGUACGGUCGCAAGGCUG
This 371-nucleotide ribosomal RNA is filed under the name uncultured bacterium. RNAcentral's name for it is "bacterial SSU rRNA". It matches the Rfam family "Bacterial small subunit ribosomal RNA", at positions 527 to 896 of the family's 1533-position model. The record is from RNAcentral.